Long non-coding RNA from Lemur catta (Ring-tailed lemur), 338 nucleotides. RefSeq lists it as uncharacterized. The record is from RefSeq and is a predicted model, not a curated record. The transcript is spliced from 4 exons. NCBI's taxonomy places the organism in Eukaryota, Metazoa, Chordata, Mammalia, Primates, Lemuridae.
CAGUGGCCGCGUGGGACGUGAUUGGUGUUUUGAGAUCCCCAGAGAGACCACAGAGCCCGUGGAGAUGUGUGUCGUGAGAAACUGGACUACCCUACAUGAAGAUUGUGUUGCCAUGGAACGAACAGCAGCAGUCUCUAGGGAAGAGCUCCGUACAGUGGCAUCCCUGGACACGUGAAGAGCUCCCGGACCCGUAAGGCACGGGGUCCUUCGAGUGCUAUCCACCAGUGGCCGCGUGGGACGUGGUUGGUGUUUUGAGAUCCCCGGAGAGAACGCGGAGCCCGUGGACACGUGUGUCGUGGGAAACUGGACUACCCUACAUGAAGAUUGUGUUGCCAUGG